This is a long non-coding RNA of Macadamia integrifolia, 499 nucleotides long. RefSeq lists it as uncharacterized. NCBI's taxonomy places the organism in Eukaryota, Viridiplantae, Streptophyta, Magnoliopsida, Proteales, Proteaceae. The record is from RefSeq and is a predicted model, not a curated record. The transcript is spliced from 2 exons.
AGAGGUCAUUUAGGAGGGAUACUAACUGAAGGAAAUGAUAAGGGAUUCAUAGAAAUGCAACCAAGUUUAUAUAAUGUUGUGCCUGAAGAUGAUACUUAUAAGGGAAAGAUCAAAAUUGGCUUUAAAUUCACAGCAAAUGUAGAAGUGCAAAAGGAUUGCGUGUCACUACUUCCAUGGUCCAAACUCACCUUCCAACUCAAAAUGUUUAAAGUAAUGCAAUUGGGCUUGGGAUCUUUUUGAACAUUAGAUAUUUUUCAUGAACAGUAAUGCCAUAGAUGAAGUUGAUUAGUUUUAUAUCAGAUGAACUUAAAAUGAUUUAUCUAUUCAUUUCUGUGAAAUGAGAAGUUACAAAGUGUUUUAGUUGAAAACAAACUUCUAAUAUGAUCAUUGAACAUUUUUCCAAGGAUCGUCAUUGUACUUGUUGUGAAAGCUUUACUUCUUUUUAUAAGUUCUAGUAUUUGGGUUCACAGUUCAUUAUAUCACCACAUGCCUUCACAAG